This 276-nucleotide ribosomal RNA is filed under the name uncultured Parabacteroides sp. RNAcentral's name for it is "partial 16S ribosomal RNA". It matches the Rfam family "Bacterial small subunit ribosomal RNA", at positions 70 to 339 of the family's 1533-position model. The record is from RNAcentral. Lineage: Bacteria; Pseudomonadati; Bacteroidota; Bacteroidia; Bacteroidales; Tannerellaceae.
CAUGAUUUGUAGCAAUACAGAUUGAUGGCGACCGGCGCACGGGUGAGUAACGCGUAUGCAACUUACCUAUCAGAGGGGGAUAGCCCGGCGAAAGUCGGAUUAAUACCCCAUAAAACAGGGGUCCCGCAUGGGAAUAUUUGUUAAAGAUUCAUCGCUGAUAGAUAGGCAUGCGUUCCAUUAGGCAGUUGGCGGGGUAACAGCCCACCAAGACGAUGAUAGGUAGGGGUUCUGAGAGGAAGGUCCCCCACAUUGGAACUGAGACACGGUCCAAACUCC